Molecule: transfer RNA, 56 nt
Filed under: Necator americanus (New World hookworm)
Lineage: Eukaryota; Metazoa; Nematoda; Chromadorea; Rhabditida; Ancylostomatidae
Description: transfer RNA-Asp
Source: RNAcentral
AAAGUUUUAGUAUAUAUAAGUAUGGUUUAUUGUCAAUAAGCAGGUUUAAAACUUUA